RNAcentral lists this ribosomal RNA (254 nucleotides) under uncultured bacterium. RNAcentral describes it as "partial 16S ribosomal RNA". It matches the Rfam family "Bacterial small subunit ribosomal RNA", at positions 524 to 776 of the family's 1533-position model. The record is from RNAcentral.
UACGUAGGUGGCAAGCGUUGUCCGGAUUUACUUGGCGUAAAGAGCGCGCAGGCGGUCGUUCAAGUCGCGUGUGAAAGCCCCCGGCUCAACUGGGGAGGGUCACGCGAUACUGAUCGACUCGAAGGCAGGAGAGGGUAGUGGAAUUCCCGGUGUAGUGGUGAAAUGCGUAGAUAUCGGGAGGAACACCAGUGGCGAAGGCGACUACCUGGCCUGUUUCUUGACGCUGAGGCGCGAAAGCUAGGGGAGCGAACGGG